Molecule: ribosomal RNA, 253 nt
Filed under: uncultured bacterium
Lineage: Bacteria
Description: partial 16S ribosomal RNA
Rfam family: Bacterial small subunit ribosomal RNA
Source: RNAcentral
UACGUAGGGGGCGAGCGUUGUCCGGAUUUACUGGGCGUAAAGAGCGCGUAGGCGGAGAUCUAAGCGUGGCCUGAAAGCCCCCGGCUCAACCGGGGAGUGCGGCUGCGAACUGGGUUUCUUGAGGACGAUAGAGGAGAGUGGAAUUCCUGGUGUAGCGGUGAAAUGCGUAGAUAUCAGGAGGAACACCCGAGGCGAAGGCGGCUCUCUGGGUCGUACCUGACGCUGAGGCGCGAAAGCGUGGGGAGCGAACGGG